GGAAUAUUGGACAAUGGGCGAAAGCCUGAUCCAGCGACGCCGCGUGGGUGAAGAAGGCCUGCGGGUUGUAAAGCCCUUUCGGUGGGGAAGACAAGCCUCGACCUAACACGUCCGGGUCUUGACGUAACCCAUAGACGAAGCACCGCCUCACUCUGUGCCAGCAGCCGCGGUAAUACAGAGGGUGCGAGCGUUAAUCGGAAUUCCUGGGCGUAAAGCGCGCGUAGGCGGCUUUGCAAGUCGGGUGUGAAAUCCCUGGGCUUAACCUGGGAACUGCAUUCGAGACUGCAUUGCUAGAGUAUGGGAGAGGGAAGUGGAAUUUCCGGUGUAGCGGUGAAAUGCGUAGAUAUCGGAAGGAACAUCAGUGGCGAAAGCGACUUCCUGGACCAAUACUGACGCUCAUGUGCGAAAGCGUGGGGAGCAAAC
RNAcentral lists this ribosomal RNA (423 nucleotides) under uncultured bacterium. Its description in RNAcentral is "bacterial SSU rRNA". It matches the Rfam family "Bacterial small subunit ribosomal RNA", at positions 358 to 773 of the family's 1533-position model. The record is from RNAcentral.